GGCCGGGCUCCGCACAGUGGGAGCAUGUGAACCGCGUCAGGUCCGGGAGGAAGCAGCGCUAAGCAUUCCCUCUCAGGUGUGCGGAACGCCCGGCCCUU
Molecule: signal recognition particle RNA, 98 nt
Filed under: Actinomycetes bacterium
Lineage: Bacteria; Bacillati; Actinomycetota; Actinomycetes
Description: Actinobacteria bacterium signal recognition particle sRNA small type
Rfam family: Bacterial small signal recognition particle RNA
About the family: The signal recognition particle (SRP) is a universally conserved ribonucleoprotein involved in the co-translational targeting of proteins to membranes. Archaeal SRP consists of a 7S RNA and homologues of the eukaryotic SRP19 and SRP54 proteins.
Source: RNAcentral